CUAGUAAUCGCGGAUCAGCAUGCCGCGGUGAAUACGUUCCCGGGCCUUGUACACACCGCCCGUCACACCAUGGGAGCCGGUAAUACCCGAAGUCAGUAGUCCAACCUCGUGAGGACGCUGCCGAAGGUAGGAUUGGCGACUGGGGUGAAGUCGUAACAAGGUACC
RNAcentral lists this ribosomal RNA (165 nucleotides) under uncultured bacterium. Its description in RNAcentral is "partial 16S ribosomal RNA". It matches the Rfam family "Bacterial small subunit ribosomal RNA", at positions 1335 to 1500 of the family's 1533-position model. The record is from RNAcentral.